CUCUAUCUCUAUCUAUAUCUUCUUCUCCUCCUUCUCUCUAGAACCUUCUGGUUCUCCUUCUCCGAUGGCCUUCACCGUCUCUCCGGCCACCUCCAGCCUCGCCUAUUUCGACCACCAGUUGCCUUGAAGCCUUAUCUUACCGGUUCCUUCCGCCCAUGAGACUCCAGGAGUCUUCACCAUGCAAAAUGUUCACUGAAGCUUUGCUGGGGUUCCGCCUUUUUUCGAUGGAUUUUGGUCCGAUGGUGCUGUAAAUACCACUAUUCUCGAGUUUCACAACCAGGUUUCACUUGUUUCUCUAACUGGUUUCAUAUAAAACCCUAAUCUCGAUCCAAACCUCUCAAACCGCUGAUUUUUUUUAAUGAUUUUAACUCGUACCUUUAUGUUUUGCACUAUUUUCUACUCGAUCUUUACGAUUACUCCAUUUUUAAACAUUUUGUUCCCUUUUUGAAACUAGUGUUUCUGAACCCCUUUUCGAAAUAACUUUAUUUUCUAAUUUUGAGUACGAAUUGGUGAUUCUUAGUACUAUUCCUAAACUUCUUUCUUAUGACUAAUCAAAACCCUAACCUUAUACGUUUGUGUUUGUAUUGUCUGCUUGUUUGUGUGUUCUUCUCUAAGUUCCGUUUUCUUUGCUUUAAUUUUGGCUACUAGUGUUCAUUCUCCUACCAUUAUGUGUUCUCUAUUUAAGGUAUCUCUGACUGUUUUAAUGACGAUUUUAUACUGAUUCUUACAAGCCCUCUUUGAGAUUGUGAUACUUGCCUUAAAAUUGGAUUCUGCGUAUUAUUUUCGAAUUUCUUCCUCACUCCGCGAGAUACUUUCCUCUAAUUAAUAUUGGGCUCUUAAGUUUUCAAUCUCGUUCAUGAUUUUUUGGGACUAUUUUCUUGAAUUUGAGUUGUAUCCUGCCCUACACGUGUGCACGAAUAUGUUGAUUGAUUUGGCUGACCUAUUUCCCUAAUUAGAGUAUCAUGUACCUAGUCUUUAUUGCACACUUUAUACUAUUCUGCUUCCUUAUGUGAUCAUGCCAUGCUUGUGAUUUAUUUCCUUUUAAAUAGUUGUUCAUUACCGUUUGACUUUGAUUCCUUAAUUAAAGGGAGUCCAUAUAUUGAAUUUAUUAUGAUUGAUUCCAGUUCCUUGAUUAGGGGCUGCUACCUUUUUUGUUUGCUCGUAUUCAGUACUAUAAGUACCCCCCUCCCCCCACUCUCUUUUGCAUGACACGAACACAUUGCAUAUCACAAACACACAUAUAUAGUAAUCACAUUGCUCUCUCUUGUGAUAUUUCUCUCAUUUUCUCUCUUGUGCUAUUGUUGUUCCCUACUACUGACUGUCAUUAGCUAGCUGAAAGGCUAAGGCUAAUAUCAUGCUUAUACUUGGCUCUUGCAUUCCGCUGUGCUCUCCUUGUUGCUGGUAUGUCCUGAUUGAAUUCCACGAUCCAAACCAAGGUGUUCAUUACUACUUCAGUAGGUGCUAUUCCUAAUCGUUUUCUACUUAUUUUUCUGAUGUGCAACAUGUGAUUGAUUCCUGGUUUGGCUGUUGGAACUUAUAUGCUCAUGAUUACUGUUCACUUGUUAUGACUGAAUUCUAUUGUUACUUACUUUGUGUCUAAAUCCCACUAUGUCAAGAUCUCUUAAAGCUUUUGGUUUUUGAGUUUGCAUGUGAUUUAUUUGUCCCCUUUACCCAUUACCCUUGUGUGCAACUCUCUAAUUUACUUUUUUAUACUCUUUGAGCUACCAAUUUUCCUCUCCUUCUUGCACUUGACACUACUCGAGAUUAGGUUCUACCCCCUUCUAGUAAGCAUUGUUAUGGGUUCCUCUGAGUACUCACUGAACUUUGACGCACAAGGCUGGUAAUUUCACACUUCAUUUGUUCAACAUUUUUGUAAUUGUAUGGGUGCUCGUAUUGGCCAAGGACCCAAUGGUGACCCUAGGGAGCUUUGGCGUACCCUGACCAUGUCAAGGCUGUGAAGUUCGAAAGGAGUGAGGUUGGAAGAAUGGGCAUGAUUGAACUCUCCCUAUAGAAUAACUUCUUAUUUUUAUUCUUUACUAUUGUAAUUAAGCUAUCAGUGGUUGUAGGAACUUUUAUGUGCAUUAGACAUCCUGUGACUUAGAGUUUUAUUUUGUCUGAGUUGUAAUCGUAAAC
RNAcentral lists this long non-coding RNA (2133 nucleotides) under Nicotiana benthamiana. RNAcentral's name for it is "long non-coding RNA (NBEN_LNC023929)". Lineage: Eukaryota; Viridiplantae; Streptophyta; Magnoliopsida; Solanales; Solanaceae. The record is from RNAcentral.